Molecule: ribosomal RNA, 477 nt
Filed under: uncultured bacterium
Lineage: Bacteria
Description: partial 16S ribosomal RNA
Rfam family: Bacterial small subunit ribosomal RNA
Source: RNAcentral
AUGAACGCUGGCGGCGUGCCUCACCCAUGCAAGUCGAACGGAGUCCAGCCUUUAAGACCUUCGGGUCAAAGAGGGGAAGACUGAGUGGCGGACGGGUGAGUAACACGUGGGCAACCUGGCUCAUAGAGGGGGAUAACAGAGAGAAAUUUCUGCUAAUACCGCAUAAGCACACACUGCCGCAUGGCAGAGGGUGAAAAGAGAAUCGCUAUGAGAUGGACCCGCGUCUGAUUAGCCAGUUGGCAGGGUAAGAGCCUACCAAAGCGACGAUCAGUAGCCGAUCUGAGAGGAUGAACGGCCACAUUGGGGCUGAGACACGGCCCAAACUCCUACGGGAGGCAGCAGUGGGGGAUAUUGCACAAUGGGGGGAACCCUGAUGCAGCGACGCCGCGUGAGUGAAGAAGUAUUUCGGUAUGUAAAGCUCUAUCAGCAGGGAAGAUAAUGACAGUACCUGAAGAAGAAGCCCCGGCUAACUACGUG